RNAcentral lists this ribosomal RNA (253 nucleotides) under uncultured bacterium. RNAcentral describes it as "partial 16S ribosomal RNA". It matches the Rfam family "Bacterial small subunit ribosomal RNA", at positions 524 to 776 of the family's 1533-position model. The record is from RNAcentral.
UACGGGGGGGGCAAGCGUUGUUCGGAAUUACUGGGCGUAAAGGGCUCGUAGGUGGCCAACUAAGUCAGACGUGAAAUCCCUCGGCUUAACCGGGGAACUGCGUCUGAUACUGGAUGGCUUGAGUUCGGGAGAGGGAUGCGGAAUUCCAGGUGUAGCGGUGAAAUGCGUAGAGAUCGGGAGGAACACCGGUGGCGAAGGCGGUCUUCUGGACGGUGACUGACGCUGAGGCGCGAAAGCGUGGGGAGCAAACGGG